GAGAGUAAACAGUGCGUGAAACCGCUCAGAGGUAAACGGGUGGAGUUGAACUGCGAUCCUUGGGAAUUCAGCUGAUGAGCAUGAUUUGUGCUUGGGCAUAUUGACCGCCUUUCAGUGUCUGCUUAGCUGCGGGUGCCUGCCUCUGGUGGGUAUGUGUGGUGCGCUUAUCAUGUGCCGCACGCAUUGGAGGGUGUAUGAGUCUGCUUGUCGGUGCACUUUCUCAGGGUGUUCACCACGACCGGCACUGCUGUCUGUCCGCUUUGGUCAAACUGAUCAGGUCUGAUUAACGUUGGGCUUGGUUGGGUUGGCAGGUGACUCACUGGUCCAUUCUGUGGGCUAUGAGUGUUACUAGCCGGCUUUAGUGGAUCUGUACGGUGUGUCGGAGACGGCGGCUUUGCAUAUGCGCUCUGUCCUUCAGGCGUGGUUGAGUCUGGUCGACUUGUUGCUAGUUUCGGCUGGUCAGUUGAUGGCUUGAUCAUGUUCAGUUGGCAGUGGUGUGUGUGUCUUAGUUUGGGCCAAUAGUCUGUGGUGUUGUGGUAGACUAUCCACCUG
Molecule: ribosomal RNA, 552 nt
Filed under: Trichobilharzia franki
Lineage: Eukaryota; Metazoa; Platyhelminthes; Trematoda; Strigeidida; Schistosomatidae
Also listed under: 1 other name
Description: partial 28S ribosomal RNA
Source: RNAcentral